UGGCUGCGAAAAGAGUUUUAAUUUUUUAUGAGGCCGACGAUGAUUACGGCCUCAGGCGACAGGCACAAAUCGGAGAGAAACUAUGUUUGAA
RNAcentral lists this non-coding RNA (91 nucleotides) under Escherichia coli. RNAcentral describes it as "Plasmid-encoded Shigella sRNA A". It matches the Rfam family "Plasmid-encoded Shigella sRNA A". Lineage: Bacteria; Pseudomonadati; Pseudomonadota; Gammaproteobacteria; Enterobacterales; Enterobacteriaceae. The record is from RNAcentral.